GGCCGCCAGUGUGAUGAAGGCCUUAGGGUUGUAAAGUACUUUCGUGGAGGAGGGGUUUACGUAAUCGUGGACAUUGACGUUACUCCAAGAAGAAGCACCGGCUAACUCCGUGCCAGCAGCCGCGGUAAUACGGAGGGUGCGAGCGUUAAUCGGAAUGACUGGGCGUAAAGGGCAUGCAGGCGGAUGAUUAAGUUAGAUGUGAAAUCCCUGGGCUUAACCUAGGAAUUGCAUUUAAAACUGGUUAUCUAGAGUAUUGUAGAGGAAGGUAGAAUUCCAUGUGUAGCGGUGAAAUGCGUAGAGAUGUGGAGGAAUACCGGUGGCGAAGGCGGCCUUCUGGACAGUACUGACGCUGAGAUGCGAAAGCGUGGGGAGCAAACAGGAUUAGAUACCCUGGUAGUCCACGCUGUAAACGAUGUCGAUUUGGAGUUUGUUGCCUAGAGUGAUGGGCUCCGAAGCUAACGCGAUAAAUCGACCGCCUGGGGAGUACGGCCGCAAGGUUAAAACUCAAAUGAAUUGACGGGGGCCCGCACAAGCGGUGGAGCAUGUGGUUUAAUUCGAUGCAACGCGAAGAACCUUACCUGGUCUUGACAUCCAUAGAAUUCUGCAGAGAUGUGGGAGUGCCUUCGGGAACUAUGAGACAGGUGCUGCAUGGCCGUCGUCAGCUCGUGUUGUGAAAUGUUGGGUUAAGUCCCGCAACGAGCGCAACCCUUAUUCUUGUUGCCAGCGAUUUGGUCGGGAACUCAAAGGAGACUGCCG
Molecule: ribosomal RNA, 756 nt
Filed under: uncultured Enterobacteriaceae bacterium
Lineage: Bacteria; Pseudomonadati; Pseudomonadota; Gammaproteobacteria; Enterobacterales; Enterobacteriaceae
Description: bacterial SSU rRNA
Rfam family: Bacterial small subunit ribosomal RNA
Source: RNAcentral